UAGGGAAUCUUCCACAAUGGACGCAAGUCUGAUGGAGCAACGCCGCGUGAGUGAAGAAGGUUUUCGGACCGUAAAGCCCUGUUGUUGGUGAAGAAGGAUAGAGGUAGUAACUGGCCUUUAUUUGACGGUAAUCAACCAGAAAGUCACGGCUAACUACGUGCCAGCAGCCGCGGUAAUACGUAGGUGGCAAGCGUUGUCCGGAUUUAUUGGGCGUAAAGCGAGCGCAGGCGGAAGAAUAAGUCUGAUGUGAAAGCCCUCGGCUUAACCGAGGAAUUGCAUCGGAAACUGUUUUCUUGAGUGCAGAAGAGGAGAGUAGAACUCCAUGUGUAGCGGUGGAAUGCGUAGAUAUAUGGAAGAAUACCAGUGGCGAAGGCGGCUCUCUGGUCUGCAACUGACGCUGAGGCUCGAAAGCAUGGGUAGCGAACAGGAUUAGAUACCCUGGUAGUCCAUGCCGUAAACGAUGAGUGCUAAGUGUUGGGAGGCUUCCGCCUCUCAGUGCUGCAGCUAACGCAUUAAGCACUCCGCCUGGGGGAGUACGACCGCAAGGUUGAAAC
RNAcentral lists this ribosomal RNA (554 nucleotides) under uncultured bacterium. RNAcentral's name for it is "partial 16S ribosomal RNA". It matches the Rfam family "Bacterial small subunit ribosomal RNA", at positions 355 to 900 of the family's 1533-position model. The record is from RNAcentral.